UGCGCAGGCGGAAUGAUAAGUCAGUGGUGAAAUCCUACAGCUUAACUGUAGAACUGCCAUUGAUACUGUUGUUCUUGAGUACAUUUGUAGUGGGCGGAAUGUGUCAUGUAGCGGUGAAAUGCUUAGAGAUGACACAGAACACCGAUCGCGAAGGCAGCUCACUAAACUGUAACUGACGCUGAGGCACGAAAGCGUGGGGAUCAAACAGGAUUAGAUACCCUGGUAGUC
This 228-nucleotide ribosomal RNA is filed under the name uncultured bacterium. RNAcentral describes it as "partial 16S ribosomal RNA". It matches the Rfam family "Bacterial small subunit ribosomal RNA", at positions 568 to 795 of the family's 1533-position model. The record is from RNAcentral.